This 460-nucleotide ribosomal RNA is filed under the name uncultured bacterium. RNAcentral describes it as "partial 16S ribosomal RNA". It matches the Rfam family "Bacterial small subunit ribosomal RNA", at positions 338 to 795 of the family's 1533-position model. The record is from RNAcentral.
CCUACGGGAGGCAGCAGUGAGGAAUAUUGGUCAAUGGACGAGAGUCUGAACCAGCCAAGUAGCGUGAAGGAUGACUGCCCUAUGGGUUGUAAACUUCUUUUAUCUGGGAAUAACAUGUUCCACGUGUAGGCUUUUGUAUAUACCCUAUGAAUAAGGAUCGGCUAACUCCGUGCCAGCAGCCGCGGUAAUACGGAGGAUCCGAGCGUUAUCCGGAUUUAUUGGGUUUAAAGGGAGCGUAGGUGGAUUGUUAAGUCAGUUGUGAAAGUUUGCGGCUCAACCGUAAAAUUGCAGUUGAAACUGGCAGUCUUGAGUACAGUAGAGGUGGGCGGAAUUCGUGGUGUAGCGGUGAAAUGCUUAGAUAUCACGAAGAACCCCGAUUGCGAAGGCAGCUCACUGGACUGCAACUGACACUGAGGCUCGAAAGUGUGGGUAUCAAACAGGAUUAGAUACCCUUGUAGUC